UACGUAGGGGGCUAGCGUUGUCCGGAUUCAUUGGGCGUAAAGCGCGCGUAGGCGGCCCGGUAAGUCGGAUGUGAAAUCUCACGGCUCAACCGUGGAACUGCAUUCGAAACUGUCGGGCUAGAGGCAGGUAGGGGAGAUCGGAAUUCCCGGUGUAGCGGUGAAAUGCGCAGAUAUCGGGAGGAACACCGGUGGCGAAGGCGGAUCUCUGGGCCGAUACUGACGCUGAGGAGCGAAAGCGUGGGGAGCGAACAGG
This 253-nucleotide ribosomal RNA is filed under the name uncultured bacterium. Its description in RNAcentral is "partial 16S ribosomal RNA". It matches the Rfam family "Bacterial small subunit ribosomal RNA", at positions 524 to 776 of the family's 1533-position model. The record is from RNAcentral.